UGCGGAUGAGUGGGGAAUCGGGUCAUGUUAAAGGGAGGGGGAAAAGCGUGCGAGGAUAUUUAGAUGAGGGAAAAGAACGCCGCCGUAGAACAAUUUGGAACGCAAGUAAACGUUGCCUUAUAGCGACCUCAAAGCCCAUCUUGGGGUGUCCUCAAUUACGGGCGGCCUGUACAUGUCAACUAAAAGGUUCUUCUGAUGCCAUUGUCUGCUGCUUGGCAACCAAACGGCAGGAUGCUAAUGAUGCCCUAGUGGCACUAUGCCAUCUGGAACCCAGCUACUAGGAUUCCUCCGGGACUUGGGCAUCUCAACAAUGGAGCGACAAGGAAAACAAAA
Long non-coding RNA from Spea bombifrons (plains spadefoot toad), 333 nucleotides. RefSeq lists it as uncharacterized. The record is from RefSeq and is a predicted model, not a curated record. NCBI's taxonomy places the organism in Eukaryota, Metazoa, Chordata, Amphibia, Anura, Pelobatidae. The transcript has 2 exons.